RNAcentral lists this long non-coding RNA (202 nucleotides) under Hordeum vulgare. RNAcentral's name for it is "long non-coding RNA (HVUL_LNC007434)". Lineage: Eukaryota; Viridiplantae; Streptophyta; Magnoliopsida; Poales; Poaceae. The record is from RNAcentral.
CUGUGUCCAGAAUGGAAUCUAUCGAAGCCUUGGUGUAUGCUCCAAGUUAAGAUGAUCAUAUCAGCAUGUUUACUCCUGGAUGUAACUGACAUUGUGUAACCCUAGUACCCCUGGUAUUUAUAUAAACCGGAGGGUGUUAGUCCAUAAGGCAGAUUAAGAUCAAUACUCCUAGGGUUUUAGACCACAUAAUACGAUCUCGAGG